This 252-nucleotide ribosomal RNA is filed under the name uncultured bacterium. RNAcentral describes it as "partial 16S ribosomal RNA". It matches the Rfam family "Bacterial small subunit ribosomal RNA", at positions 524 to 776 of the family's 1533-position model. The record is from RNAcentral.
GACAGAGGCCUCAAGCGUUAGGCGGAAUCACUGGGCUUAAAGCGUGUGUAGGCGGAUCGUUAAGUGUCUUGUGAAAUCCCACGGCUCACCCGUGGAACGGCUGGGCAUACUGGCGAUCUUGGGCCAACUAGGGCAACUGGAACAAGCGGUGGAGCGGUGAAAUGCGUAGAUAUCGCUUGGAACGCCGAAGGUGAAAACAGGUUGCUGGGGUUGUGCCGACGCUGAGACACGAAAGCCAGGGGAGCAAACGGG